GGUGCUCCAAUGAACCACCCAGGGAAUGGUGAUGAAGUGAAUGAGGACAAAGUGAUGGUAAAGCAGCUUCAUGGGUAGGAAACUCACAUCUCUAAGAAAUGCUGUGCAGAACUCUUUAGCAUCUCUGAGUUCUUGGAACAUAAGAAAAAAUCGCACUAAAAAUCCACCUGUCCUCACCAUGAAUGACAGCGAGGAGUCAGUGCCUUCAGAAGACUUUUGUGCAGCUGUACCAAGCCACCAGCCACCCAGUUCAAGCAGCGACAGUCCCAAGGAAAAUGGUGGCAGCUAAGGGUACAUAAAGGAGAAGCUGGGCGCAGAGUCUCUCUUGCACUUAAAGACAGAGACUGCCCUACCAUCCACACUCCAGAACAUAAGCUAUUUACCCAAAGGCAAAGUGGCCAAUAUUAAUGUGACUCUUCAGGCAUUACAAGGAGACAAGGGAGUGGUAAAUCAGUGAAGCUCAUAUGUGCUGCUGGCCCCUCUGCCCAGCACCAACAGCAUCUUUUCAACGACAGCAGAUCUAGCUCACUGAGCAGAUUUGCAUUCAAGUGAACUCGUGGGCCUCCCACACUCUCCACUCAGGCUAAUACCCUGAAGACCUUAGAUAGCCACAUGUCCAAGCAAGUUUCUGUAGCUGUGGCUUUGCUCAGCCAGAAAGCUGGAAGCCAAGGUCUGUCUCUGGACACCUUAAACAAGCCAAGCUAUCUCACCAGCAUCCCUUCUGCUGCCAGCUCUGUGACCCCAUGGCUGACACCCUUCACCCUGAAGCUGGAUAGGACACGGGUGCUCCUGAAUAUUGUGUCUCAGCUCCCAAGUGCUUUGCUACCUCAGGCUUGGGUUCUGUGCUCUUCCAGAGUCCUUUCUCUACUGUGGCAUUAUACCCAUCCAAGAAAGAGAAAGAUAAGCCACCAAACAUCUGAGAUGUGUGUCAAACCCAAAGACGAGGCCAUCCUCUACAAGCACAACUGUAAGAACUGUAGCAAGGUUUGGGAGACUGGUAGCUCCUUGCAGAUCUAUCCCCACAUGCAUACUGGAGAGAGACCCUUCAUGUUCUCUGUGUGUGGUCAUGGCUUCACCACCAAGGGUAACCUCAAGGUAUACUUUAAUCAAUAUCCCCAGGUGAAGGCAAACCCCCAGCUGUUUGCCAAGUUCCAGAACAAAAUGGUGGUAGGCAAUGGCACCCCAUGCACUCCCUGUACCUGUCCCCAUAGAUGAAUCCAGUCUCUCUUUAGACAGCAAACUUGUCCUUGUAACAAGGACCCCCUCCAUAGAACUAUCACAAAAUCUUUCUUCGGGGGUUAACCCCAAUGACCACAUGGGUGGCUCAUUGUUGGGCCUUCUCCAGAAAGUAAGGGUGGACCCACACUCCCUGGGGUGGUGCCAAACCAUAAUUCCCCAAGGGUUGGUGGCUUUCAAGGGAGUGGGACCACCAAGCCAGGGUCAGAGACCAUGAAAUUGCAGCAGCUGGUAGAGAACAGCAACAAGGCCACUUCUGACCCCAGUGAAUGUCUCAUUUGCCACCGAGUGUUAAGCUGCCAAAGUUCCUUCACAAUGCAUUUACAUUACCACACCCACAUUGGGGAGAGACCCAUCCUAUGUGAAAUCUGUGGACAAGCUUUUUCUACCAAAGGCAACGUAAAGACACUUCUCAGGGUUCAUGGAACCAACUCAUCCAUAAGUACAUACCCCAUUAGUCAAAAGAAAUUUGCCAGUGUGGUCAUGUUGCAACAACAUAUUUGGAUGAACAUGGGCACUCAGAUUCCCAGCAUGUCCCCGCCAGAGAAUCCCUGUGAUUUUAGGGGUCCUGAGCCAAUGAUGGUCAGUGAGAAUGGUAAUACAAGUGCCAUCUGCCAUGAUGAUGUUGAAAGAAGACACCACUGUGGAUAAAGUCAGCUCCCAGGAUGCCCCCAGUAGCUACUCAAAGGUCCUCACACCUCUUCUUAGCAUCCACUUAAUAUAACCCACCCUAGGGUUUGCCACAAAGGCUUCCCUAGCAGUCACCAGGAAAGUGGGUCCUGUUCCUUCUGGCCUGCAGAGGCAGAGCAGCUGAAAAACGAUUCAGUGGAGAGCAACAGUUUAAUGACUCAUUCUCACUGAUGGGACACCAGGACUAUUAGCCAAACUCCAGAUGCUGUGGAAACCACAUCCUUCCAGGCACGCUCCCUAGCAACUAGCCAAGCAGAAAGCAUUAUGACAAAGUCUCCAGAUGCUGGGAGCAAAGCUGAGCACCCCAAGAACAGCCACACUGAGAUGGGCUGUCUCCCAUCAACGUUUUUCUGAGCCCAGUCAACAUAUGUCAAAGUUCAUGGCACAUUUGUUGGAUCCUCAAUCAUGUCCCUGGUGUUAGCGGCCCAGCCACACUGACAGGCCAAGCAACACAGCUGCACACAGUGUGAGAAGAACUUCUUAUCCACUAGUGCUCUUCAGAUUCACAAGUGGACUCACACUAGAGAAUAGCCUUUUGUGUGCAGCAUACAUGGGCAAGCUUUUACCACCAAAGGCAACUUGAAGGUCCACUGUAUGACUCAUGGAGCAAACAAUAACUCAGCACACCAGAGAAGGAAGCUAGCCAUUGAGAACACUAUGGCUUAAUUAGGUAUGAAUGGAAAGAAUCUCAGAAAUGUUUACUGGAAAUCCUGGCCCCUUCAGUGAAGGUGGUGGAACCAAUAUACCAACAUGCUCAACAGUGGUCUUGCCAUGAAGACUAGCGAGAUCUCUAUGACCCAGAGUGGUGGUGUUCCCACCCUCCCAGUUUCUGUGGGGGCCAACUCUGCUGUGAAUAACACUGCUGAGUCCAAGAUGGAUGGCUCCCAGUCAGGUAUCAGUGCCAAUGUGGAAAAACCAGGUGCUACUGAGACUGUUCCCACACAUUGGUUCCCUCACUUCCUGGAAGAAAACAAGAUUGUGGUC
RNAcentral lists this long non-coding RNA (2910 nucleotides) under Homo sapiens (human). RNAcentral's name for it is "non-protein coding lnc-UTP14A-1:1". The record is from RNAcentral. Lineage: Eukaryota; Metazoa; Chordata; Mammalia; Primates; Hominidae.